CUGCUUGCAAAACUGCAGAAGGUCUUGGCUGAGCUGGACUUGGUCUUCCCUUAAGUUAGUGUCCCCUCGGGUGGCGUCCAAAACCAGGAAGCACCUAAAUGGCCAGUAUUCCCUUCCUCUCUGAGGCCUCAGUUUCCCUGUCUGUCAUCAACAGGCAUUUGGACUUAAGUCCCUCAGCUUCUUCUGCAAUGUGCCUCUUCUCCAGAGCUCAAAGUCUGAUCUGGUUCCUCAUCCUUUUUUGAGCACUUCUGACCCCAGUAAACUCUACCAAUAUUCCAACAGAGCAGUGAUCUCAGAGUCUAUCUGAUGCAGUUUGGCUGUCUGUCUUUCAGGGGAAUCUUAUCAACUUUGAGAAAAUAAACAAGGAAAUCAAAGUUCUUCAAGAGAUAAACAGCUGUUCCAAGUGGCAGUGAGGAAAUAUAAUUUCCAAUGUGAGGAAAAUCUUGAGGUCCAGUUUCAGUCGAUGGAGUGUCUCAAUGAGAAUGAAAGCUACAACCUGUCCUGCCUUCUGGAUCCCCUAUCCAAGCAGGCCAGCAACGCACUUAGGGCCAGGAGCAGGAAGUGACUGCCCAGGUCGGCAAGGGCAGACAGGCUCAGAGCUCAGUGGAGUCCGGGCUAAGUGUGAGUUCUCACUGCCCUGACCAGCCUUGGACCAGGGUGACCUGUCUCGCUACUCUGUUCCUUGAGACUUUAUUGUCAUAAAUCUGAUUUGCCUUUCCAAG
This 722-nucleotide long non-coding RNA is filed under the name Heterocephalus glaber (naked mole-rat). RNAcentral's name for it is "lncRNA (ENSHGLG00100034292.1)". Lineage: Eukaryota; Metazoa; Chordata; Mammalia; Rodentia; Bathyergidae. The record is from RNAcentral.